Molecule: long non-coding RNA, 3286 nt
Organism: Oryctolagus cuniculus (rabbit)
Lineage: Eukaryota; Metazoa; Chordata; Mammalia; Lagomorpha; Leporidae
Source: Ensembl
AUGAAAAAAACCCCAAGCCAAACAACAACAGCAGCCGCCGCGUGGUGCCCGGAGCGUGCGGCCUCCCUGGUGGAAACAGUGAUGCGCGCGCCCGCCACGCCGGCCCAGACGGCCGCGCGGCGGCCUGACUCAGUGGCAGGAAGUGGUGUGUUUCCACUGCAGAGCUCGAAAACAAGCUGGUGUGGGGAGCCGCUGGGGCGUCGGUGGCAUUUCCCUGGCCUGUUUAUGAAAUACGGCGGGAAUGCGCGGCGGGGUUCCUCUCAGCGCGUCUUUUACAGGAAACCCAGGAGCCCCGAGUGGAAGGCGGGCGGCCGGGCAUGCUGGGAAAGCCCGAGAGUGCCCGGAUCAGGAAGGACGGGAAGGGAGCGAGGGAGACGCGGGCCCCGCGCUGUCCACGCGCCGCCGCCUUCCCAGCGCGGGCCCGAGCUGCUUCCUUCCCAGAGCCGGGUGUGGAAGGCACCGAGUGCCCAGAGGCCGGGCCGAGGCUGUUGAGUGUUGCUGCAGCCGCCGCCACCAGGAGCUCAUCUGACACCCAGGGCGCCAGGGCAAGCUGUCACCUUGUGACAUUCCUGCUGCAGCCCUGGGAGAAGCCGUGGAGGCUCUGGGAGGGGCAGCGCGGGGAGCGCCCGCCAGGUACCUCUGCUCACUCACCCCCACCAGAAGGGUGAAAGUAACAGCAGACCUGCUGGAUUGUGGGUGACUGUGGGAAGGGACCUGCCACCUGAUGGAGAGAGAGAUAAUGGUUGUGGGGGCACUGGGUGCUUUUCCCAGAAUGACUAAGGGGUGUCCAGAAUCUUAGCAUGACUCACCGCAGGUUGGUUCUAGAGCUGAGAGGAGGCUCAGCCACGACCCACUCUGCUCCACACAGAGACAGGGAGGGCAGCCCAGCCCUUGGCUUCCAAGGCCAGGCUUCUACUCAGUCUCUUAACGCCUGGCUUGUGCGAUGGAGCGCGCAGCUAAGCAUGCAGGAAUCAAAUGACCUGUUCUGUACAGCGUCUUUUCAGCCAAGGGCCUCGCAGGUGCAGGAGAGAGGCAGAGACCCUUAUGCCCAGGUCAUCCAAGGCAUAGCCGUCCGGAGGCAAAAGCAAAUUCUGUUUCAAACCAGAAACAGGCGGUCCCAGUUCUGGACUUGCUAUUUCAGUCCUCGCUCGAUGGCAUGUGUUCAGAGAGCAUCGCAAACCCUCAGCUCGCUUUAGAAGAGUCCGUGCCUAACGGCUUUCUCGGUGCUGCAUUGCUAGUGUGUGUACUCUAAAUGAUGAUCAAGAUGUGUUUCCAAUAUCCACAGUUAUUCGAGUUUCAUCUGCGAGGCGAGCUAUCAAAGGUAUUCUCUCUCUCUCUCUCUCUCUCUCUUUUUUUUUUUUUUAUAAGGAAACGCCAUUUUCUUCUGAAUGAAACCAUCGAUGGGAUUUUCUUACCAACGAAACAGCACUGAGGUUUCCUGAAAUGAAGUGGAGCCGGUGUUGCUCUGGUCUGGCCUCCGUGCAGUGGCCAUGGGAGCUUCCUGCUGUCUGAAAGUUCUCAGCGUGGCCGCUGCGAAGACCGCCCUCUCACAGGAGCUGUCGGUGGGCUGGGAGACACUGGGGCUCCUAAGAGUAGCUGCAGACUCACUGCCUUUGGGUGCCAGAGGGCACCCCUCCCUACCUCCCCCCGUCAGGACAUGCGGGCUCUUGGGUGCACAGAGCAGAGGGAAGCUGAGGCCAGGCCUCCAUGCGGGGGACUGGAAGUCCACAAGUCCACUGAGGUUGAUGUGUACCUGGGGCUGGCCCUUCCGGCCCUGAGGAUUUAACUGCAGAGAGCACUGCAUACAAGCGUCGGCCACCCGGCUUCUACUGGUCAUUUCUAGCCCGGAAUCUACACAGCGGGGAGCGACUCCGUGCUGUCUACAGGCUCAGGAGGCUCCCCACCUGCUCCCGGGACUGAGCUGCAAUGGGCACACACUGCUUUGAAACCUUCAGCAAAAGGGGAAAAAGGAAGACCAGUAUCUUCUAUUAGCAGUAUUUCUUCCUGCUUAAAAAAAAAUCCUGAAGCCUGCGUUACGGCUCCCAGCAGGUUAAGCUGUCACUUGCAACACUGGCAUCCCAUAUGAGCGCUGGUUCAAGUCCCGGCUGCUCUGCUUCCAAGCCAGCGCCCUGCUGAUGCGCUUGGGAAAGCAGCAGCAGAAGGCCCAAGUGCCUGCGCCCCUGCCACCCACAUGGGAGACCUGGAUGGAGCUCCUGGCUCCCAGCUUCAGCCUGGGCAAGCCCUGGCCAUUAUGGCCACUUGAGCAGAUGGAAGCGCUCUCUCUCUCUCUCUCUCUCUCUCUCUUUGUAACUCUGACUUUCAAAUAGAUAAUGAAUCUUAAAAAAAAACAAUCCCAGAGAUGGAUGAGGGAGAAGGGCAGUUGCUCCCUCAUGCUUCUGGUCAUUGGCCUGAGAGAGGCUGUGUUCAGGUGAUUUCCCAAUGGGUGCAGGCUUUGUUGGUGCUCCUUGGCAGAACUCCUCCUCCAGCUUCCUCCCGGCAUCACCCUCUUGCCAUCCUGCUCACGGCCAAGCAUGCUCAGUGAGGUUAGCCUGUCUCUCGAGACCUGACCGAGACCCUGCUCCUCUUCAGAGAGGUGCCCCCUUCUCGGGAAAACUGGGGUGGCUGGGAGAGAGUCACCAGCGCUCUCUGAGGUCGACAGCCACAGCCUGCUUGGAGUCGGUUGGGUUGCAGCCUUGGCCUAAGCCAGAACUGAUUUAAGUCAAACAGCUGCAGCCCCUGGCAUGGACAGAAUCCAAGCAGGAGUCCAGACGUCUUUCAGAGCCGCGGUGUGAGGCUCCCGUCAAACAAGGAGGGAAGCCCUCCCAGUGCCCCUGAGUUGCUCGGAACCAGCCCUGGCACCUGCAGCCGGCUCCCGCCAGCUUCCUUUGUAUUUUGUUUUGGAAUCCAAAGAGGCAAAACUCUAAAGUAGUGUGACUCAUGCUCUUUGUGGUUCACAGAUGGAUUCCGACAAUUAAAAAAAAAAAUCAAAAACCCCAAACAUAAGAUUCUGACGUUCAGGCAGCCGAGUGUCGUCUGCCCAGGAGUGUGCGUCUAUACGCAGACUUAACACCGCACACUGGUGGGCCCGCGGAGCCCCAAACCACGGUGUUUCAGGCCUACAGGGUUAUUUUCUCCUGUGGGCCCAAUAUCUACCCAAAUGAACCUCUAAUAUCACCCAGAUCAGACCAGAUUCAGCUUCCCCUGGCUAUCCCCAGUGUGUCCGUGUAGAGUUGGCUUACCAACUAGUAUGUGAUAUUGAAAUAAAUUGCCUUGAGGGCAGAAUUCA